Molecule: ribosomal RNA, 253 nt
Filed under: uncultured bacterium
Lineage: Bacteria
Description: partial 16S ribosomal RNA
Rfam family: Bacterial small subunit ribosomal RNA
Source: RNAcentral
UACAGAGGUCCCAAGCGUUGUUCGGAUUCACUGGGCGUAAAGGGUGCGUAGGUGGCGUGGUAAGUUUGAUGUGAAAGCUCAGGGCUCAACCCUGAAAUGGCAUUGAAUACUACUAUGCUGGAGGUUUGGAGGGGGGACUGGAAUUCUUGGUGUAGCAGUGAAAUGCGUAGAUAUCAAGAGGAACACCAGUGGCGAAGGCGAGUCCCUGGACAACACCUGACACUGAGGCACGAAAGCCGGGGGAGCAAACAGG